AAUUGGCGUAGAACUCAAAAACAUAAUGAAAGACCGAUUGGUAAAAAACAAUCAGGUGAUUACCAUUGAAAGGAUAAUAUCUGUGUUUUCUGAAGCUGAGUUUGUGUUCCAAGAGGAAGACAUUAAUUAUGAGUCUUUUUCCAUUUCAUUGGAGAUGUUAUAUAGAACAAAUGAGUGUUUAAUUUUUGGUGGGAACUUGGAGGGCAGUACACUAGGAAGGGUAAGGCUAGUGGAUGUCCUUUCAUUAAUUUCAUAUGUGCAUUAUGUUUGCCUUUUGGAGUAUUUGUUUCCAUAAAUCACUAAAAUGGAAGGGUACUUUUGUGUACA
Dioscorea cayenensis subsp. rotundata (Guinea yam) is the source of this 327-nucleotide long non-coding RNA. RefSeq lists it as uncharacterized. The record is from RefSeq and is a predicted model, not a curated record. The transcript is spliced from 2 exons. Lineage: Eukaryota; Viridiplantae; Streptophyta; Magnoliopsida; Dioscoreales; Dioscoreaceae.